GAGUUUGAUCAUGGCUCAGAUUGAACGCUGGCGGCAGGCCUAACACAUGCAAGUCGAACGGUAACAGGAAGCAGCUUGCUGCUUCGCUGACGAGUGGCGGACGGGUGAGUAAUGUCUGGGAAACUGCCUGAUGGAGGGGGAUAACUACUGGAAACGGUGGCUAAUACCGCAUAACGUCGCAAGACCAAAGAGGGGGACCUUCGGGCCUCUUGCCAUCAGAUGUGCCCAGAUGGGAUUAGCUUGUUGGUGAGGUAACGGCUCACCAAGGCGACGAUCCCUAGCUGGUCUGAGAGGAUGACCAGCCACACUGGAACUGAGACACGGUCCAGACUCCUACGGGAGGCAGCAGUGGGGAAUAUUGCACAAUGGGCGCAAGCCUGAUGCAGCCAUGCCGCGUGUAUGAAGAAGGCCUUCGGGUUGUAAAGUACUUUCAGCGGGGAGGAAGGUGUUGUGGUUAAUAACCGCAGCAAUUGACGUUACCCGCAGAAGAAGCACCGGCUAACUCCGUGCCAGCAGCCGCGGUAAUACGGAGGGUGCAAGCGUUAAUCGGAAUUACUGGGCGUAAAGCGCACGCAGGCGGUCUGUCAAGUCGGAUGUGAAAUCCCCGGGCUCAACCUGGGAACUGCAUUCGAAACUGGCAGGCUUGAGUCUUGUAGAGGGGGGUAGAAUUCCAGGUGUAGCGGUGAAAUGCGUAGAGAUCUGGAGGAAUACCGGUGGCGAAGGCGGCCCCCUGGACAAAGACUGACGCUCAGGUGCGAAAGCGUGGGGAGCAAACAGGAUUAGAUACCCUGGUAGUCCACGCCGUAAACGAUGUCUACUUGGAGGUUGUGCCCUUGAGGCGUGGCUUCCGGAGCUAACGCGUUAAGUAGACCGCCUGGGGAGUACGGCCGCAAGGUUAAAACUCAAAUGAAUUGACGGGGGCCCGCACAAGCGGUGGAGCAUGUGGUUUAAUUCGAUGCAACGCGAAGAACCUUACCUGGUCUUGACAUCCACAGAAGAAUCCAGAGAUGGAUUUGUGCCUUCGGGAACUGUGAGACAGGUGCUGCAUGGCUGUCGUCAGCUCGUGUUGUGAAAUGUUGGGUUAAGUCCCGCAACGAGCGCAACCCUUAUCCUUUGUUGCCAGCGAUUAGG
This 1131-nucleotide ribosomal RNA is filed under the name Salmonella enterica. RNAcentral describes it as "bacterial SSU rRNA". It matches the Rfam family "Bacterial small subunit ribosomal RNA", at positions 9 to 1129 of the family's 1533-position model. Lineage: Bacteria; Pseudomonadati; Pseudomonadota; Gammaproteobacteria; Enterobacterales; Enterobacteriaceae. The record is from RNAcentral.